RNAcentral lists this ribosomal RNA (418 nucleotides) under uncultured bacterium. RNAcentral's name for it is "bacterial SSU rRNA". It matches the Rfam family "Bacterial small subunit ribosomal RNA", at positions 356 to 773 of the family's 1533-position model. The record is from RNAcentral.
AGGGAAUUUUGCGCAAUGGAGGAAACUCUGACGCAGCAACGCCACGUGUGGGAUGAAGCAUUUCGGUGUAUAAACCACUGUCAGCAGGGAAUAAAUAGUCUCUUCGGAGGCGGUUGAAUGUACCUGCAAAGGAAGCCCCGGCUAACUUCGUGCCAGCAGCCGCGGUAAUACGAGGGGGGCAAAUGUUGUUCGGAAUCACUGGGCGUAAAGGGAGCGUAGGCGGGCUUCUAAGUUGGAUGUUUAACCCCGGGGCCCAACCCCGGACCGGCAUCCAAAACUGGAAGUCUUGAAUAGUGGAGAGGACGGCGGAAUUGGGGGUGUAGCGGUGGAAUGCGUAGAGAUCCCCAAGAACACCAGUUGCGAAGGCGGCCGUCUGGACACAUAUUGACGCUGAGGCUCGAAAGCAUGGGGAGCAAAC